This is a long non-coding RNA of Varanus komodoensis (Komodo dragon), 1077 nucleotides long. RefSeq lists it as uncharacterized. The transcript is spliced from 3 exons. The record is from RefSeq and is a predicted model, not a curated record. NCBI's taxonomy places the organism in Eukaryota, Metazoa, Chordata, Lepidosauria, Squamata, Varanidae.
CAAUAUGUCAGGUAAAGAAAUACUGAGACAGAAGAAUUGGCUCCAAUUUCCAGGAGAAAUCUCUCCACAUUCCAUGGAAUACAGCCUCCGUGGAAUAGUCUGCAGGAUUCUCUUGGAAAGCACAACAGGGAGCUGAUUUAUUAUAUUGGGAGUCAGCAAAAGUUUGAUGAUGAGAAGAAGUUUAGUAUGGCAAACUGAUCUGCUUUAAAAGCCUGAAAAGCACACAGUGUUGAAUCCAGGAUCUGCUUUCUGCAAGAAGGGAUAUUUGACGAGAGGAAGGGCUUUGCUCAUUGAAGGCCUCUCCACUUGGGUUUUUUCAGUAUCUGCUCAUGCACAAUCUGUAGUUCUGGUGCUGUGGGAAGGAUGGAAUGGGGAAGCCCACUCCUACUAAUGCAAUUCAUCCAGUGUCAAUCUGUAACCAAAGCACGGCUACCAGGCAGUGGGUUCUGCCCACUGAUUCCAUCCUGCCACGGCAUCUCUGCUGGCUUCACCCCUCUCUGGCCAAGUGUUGGUGAGGGAAUGUUCCUAGAAAGCAGCCAGCUGGGUACAUAAAGUCACCUCCUCACUAUCUGAAACCCCGCAUGGCCACAGUCCCAGCUCACAGGGGAAGUCUAUACGGGCACAGAAGCAUGGAAGCUCCUUUCAACAGACAUUCCUUGAGGGGCUCCCAGGAGGCAGGACCAAUGAGGGAUUUUGCUCUAGCCCUCCACUGGAUGGUUCAUUGUGGAUGAGCAAAUGCCCAGAGUAGACUAUUAUAUGUCCUUGUUCUGAACAACAUUUCCUAUUUUUUUCUUUUGCUUCAUUACUUUUAGCAUGUAUUUUAAUUUAUAAUAAAAUACAUAAUAAAAUGAAGACAACAGAAUGAAGAAUAUUUGUUUUUGGCAACUUAGAUCAUCCAAUAUUUGAAUUCCGAUGUCAAAGUAAAAGUUUUGUAAGACAACCCCAUAAUUAGAAGCAGCACUGCUAAAGUGAUAUUGUUCCUGUGAAUAGCUAAUUUCAGAAUUUUAAAGAGCUUAAAAAAAGGAAAAUGAUAUAUUUAAGAUAGGCUUUUGUGAGACCUGAACUCCGUGUUCAUCA